AAUAAUAUAAUAAAAGAGAUUAAUCAUAAAGAAAGGAGAAGAUAGACUCGAUCAGAUUUUUUCCGACAGCAGCAUUUAAUGCUGCAUUAAAUGCAUUUAAUGAGUGCAGGAUGAAAUCAUAUCCCUGACAACAAGAUAAGUCUCACUUGCAUGUUUUAUGUAUAUGUACAUAUAUAUAUAUAAAUCUUUUUGUCACUCACCCACACAAAUCCUAACUUCUCUACGCACACCAAAUUUUUCUGCACACGCCAACCCAACGUAGGAUAGAGAAGUCCAAGAAGGGAUAUUUGCACAAAAUUGUAGGGUCAAGCACUGCAAAUUACAAUCCAACGACACUUUGUUUCCAUAUCAAAAAGGGUGCUUUCGCAAGUAAGGUCGGAGUAAGAAAUUCAAGUUAAAGGAACUAAACGAACAAGGUUGAGCAGCGAAGUGGUGGAGGAAGUGCUAUUGAGACAAGAUAUUUAAUUCAGUCAGAUUUUG
This is a long non-coding RNA of Salvia splendens (bonfire salvia), 480 nucleotides long. RefSeq lists it as uncharacterized. The transcript is spliced from 3 exons. Lineage: Eukaryota; Viridiplantae; Streptophyta; Magnoliopsida; Lamiales; Lamiaceae. The record is from RefSeq and is a predicted model, not a curated record.